ACGUGUAAGGGUUUGAUUGUGAUCCCGGAAAAACAAUCGGAGUGGUUCUAGUCGGUGAGCCUGGGAAAACCGACCGAGUUCGUUGUGCGCUCGUAAAACAACAAGUUGGGUUGUGAGCUUGUAAAACAACCGGCUGUAAUCUGUAGGAUUAUAGUGAAAUUUCCAAGAGGUCUUGGGGAGUGGAUGUAGGUGCUGGGGUGCACCGAACCACUAUAUGUUUGUUGUGUUUGUAAUGCCUCUUGUCAUUGUCUAACUAACACACUUGCUUACUUAGAUAGAUUGCUUUCUUAACUGUUAUCCGCGCAUCCUUUAGUUGCAAGCAUAUUCAAUCAAGUCACAUUCUAUACAUCAAACUGUUGCUAAGUUUGACUUUCACUGUGCAUCCAUACAACUUAGCAUAAUUAAUCAAAAACUUUCAGAAGUAGGUUAAAAGUUUUAAAAGACCCAAUUCACCCCCCCUCUUGGGUUGUAUCUACUGGGCAACAA
This 486-nucleotide long non-coding RNA is filed under the name Phoenix dactylifera (date palm). RNAcentral describes it as "long non-coding RNA (PDAC_LNC008971)". Lineage: Eukaryota; Viridiplantae; Streptophyta; Magnoliopsida; Arecales; Arecaceae. The record is from RNAcentral.